GUGAUUUUAUUUUGUGCAGUGUCGCGGACCCUCCGAAAUCUACUGGGAAUGAUGAAUACCUCGCACAGUACCAAUGUGAUGACGGUGGAGACAAGGAGAAACCAAGAAGAUCAAAAGAACGUGACCUCAUUUCAAAAGAAAACGUUUUGUACGGCAAAGAGUCUUCUGAGCCUGACUUCACGAUUUGUGUUUCUGUGCGCUCCACUUUGACAAUGCCAAUCACAAGCGUAAAAAAAGAAGAAAAAGGAG
This is a non-coding RNA of Anas platyrhynchos (mallard), 249 nucleotides long. The record is from RefSeq and is a predicted model, not a curated record. Lineage: Eukaryota; Metazoa; Chordata; Aves; Anseriformes; Anatidae.